This 1412-nucleotide ribosomal RNA is filed under the name Staphylococcus aureus. RNAcentral's name for it is "partial 23S ribosomal RNA". It matches the Rfam family "Bacterial large subunit ribosomal RNA", at positions 1492 to 2904 of the family's 2925-position model. Lineage: Bacteria; Bacillati; Bacillota; Bacilli; Caryophanales; Staphylococcaceae. The record is from RNAcentral.
GUGCGAUUGGAUUGCACGUCUAAGCAGUAAGGCUGAGUAUUAGGCAAAUCCGGUACUCAUUAAGGCUGAGCUGUGAUGGGGAGAAGACAUUGUGUCUUCGAGUCGUUGAUUUCACACUGCCGAGAAAAGCCUCUAGAUAGAAAAUAGGUGCCCGUACCGCAAACCGACACAGGUAGUCAAGAUGAGAAUUCUAAGGUGAGCGAGCGAACUCUCGUUAAGGAACUCGGCAAAAUGACCCCGUAACUUCGGGAGAAGGGGUGCUCUUUAGGGUUAACGCCCAGAAGAGCCGCAGUGAAUAGGCCCAAGCGACUGUUUAUCAAAAACACAGGUCUCUGCUAAACCGUAAGGUGAUGUAUAGGGGCUGACGCCUGCCCGGUGCUGGAAGGUUAAGAGGAGUGGUUAGCUUCUGCGAAGCUACGAAUCGAAGCCCCAGUAAACGGCGGCCGUAACUAUAACGGUCCUAAGGUAGCGAAAUUCCUUGUCGGGUAAGUUCCGACCCGCACGAAAGGCGUAACGAUUUGGGCACUGUCUCAACGAGAGACUCGGUGAAAUCAUAGUACCUGUGAAGAUGCAGGUUACCCGCGACAGGACGGAAAGACCCCGUGGAGCUUUACUGUAGCCUGAUAUUGAAAUUCGGCACAGCUUGUACAGGAUAGGUAGGAGCCUUUGAAACGUGAGCGCUAGCUUACGUGGAGGCGCUGGUGGGAUACUACCCUAGCUGUGUUGGCUUUCUAACCCGCACCACUUAUCGUGGUGGGAGACAGUGUCAGGCGGGCAGUUUGACUGGGGCGGUCGCCUCCUAAAAGGUAACGGAGGCGCUCAAAGGUUCCCUCAGAAUGGUUGGAAAUCAUUCAUAGAGUGUAAAGGCAUAAGGGAGCUUGACUGCGAGACCUACAAGUCGAGCAGGGUCGAAAGACGGACUUAGUGAUCCGGUGGUUCCGCAUGGAAGGGCCAUCGCUCAACGGAUAAAAGCUACCCCGGGGAUAACAGGCUUAUCUCCCCCAAGAGUUCACAUCGACGGGGAGGUUUGGCACCUCGAUGUCGGCUCAUCGCAUCCUGGGGCUGUAGUCGGUCCCAAGGGUUGGGCUGUUCGCCCAUUAAAGCGGUACGCGAGCUGGGUUCAGAACGUCGUGAGACAGUUCGGUCCCUAUCCGUCGUGGGCGUAGGAAAUUUGAGAGGAGCUGUCCUUAGUACGAGAGGACCGGGAUGGACAUACCUCUGGUGUACCAGUUGUCGUGCCAACGGCAUAGCUGGGUAGCUAUGUGUGGACGGGAUAAGUGCUGAAAGCAUCUAAGCAUGAAGCCCCCCUCAAGAUGAGAUUUCCCAACUUCGGUUAUAAGAUCCCUCAAAGAUGAUGAGGUUAAUAGGUUCGAGGUGGAAGCAUGGUGACAUGUGGAGCUGACGAAUACUAA